This 497-nucleotide ribosomal RNA is filed under the name uncultured bacterium. RNAcentral describes it as "partial 16S ribosomal RNA". It matches the Rfam family "Bacterial small subunit ribosomal RNA", at positions 28 to 507 of the family's 1533-position model. The record is from RNAcentral.
GAUGAACGCUGGCGGCGUGCCUAACACAUGCAAGUCGAACGCACGGACGACAAGCUUGGUUCGCUGAUGUGAGCGGCGCGCGGGGGUGACACAUGUGUAUAACCUCUCUUUCUUACUGGGAAAACCUUGGCAAAAGGGAGGUUAUUCCGGAUUAUAUUUUGAACCGCAUGGUUCAGAAGUGAAGGGCGUUCCUGUUGUCACUUAUCCAAGGUCCGUUGCUGCAUUAGCUAGUUGGUAAGGUCACGGCUUACCAAGGCAACGAUGCAUAGCCGACCUGAGAGGGUGAGCGGCCACACUGGAACUGAGACACGGCCCAGACUCCUACGGGAGGCAGCAGUGGGGAAUUUUCCACAAUGGGCGAAAGCCUGACGGAGCAACGCCGCGUGAGUGAAGAAGGUCUUCGGGUCGUAAAGCUCUGUUAUUUGGGAAGAAAACGUGUCCACGAAACUAUGGUGAUGGUGACGGUACCUGAUCAAGAAGCACCGGCUAACUACGUG